Molecule: non-coding RNA, 722 nt
Organism: Pelobates cultripes (western spadefoot toad)
Lineage: Eukaryota; Metazoa; Chordata; Amphibia; Anura; Pelobatidae
Source: the annotation of a GenBank genome assembly
GCCUGGUGUGACAGGGGGAAUUGUAUAAAUUGCCCCCUUGGAGGCUAAGGCCUCGACCUCUUGGGUUAUCAACUCUCGGUCCCGAGUGGGGAACACCAUUCGGCCGAGGGGUUUCAGUUGGACAGGGUAUUACACAAAAUCUUUAGAGUAACCCCGGACCGUGUGGAGCACCCAGGCAUCAUGUGCCAUGCUUUGACAAAAUGGCCCAGUCUGCCCCCCACCAUAGUUAAUGCAGACAUACGAGGAGGUAGUGCACUUACCAUAAGGUCGUCGGCCAUAUGAAGAGCCUCUGGGUCCUCGGGUUUGCCACGGUCUGCCUCGAACCGGGAAGAACGGUGAGGCUUGUUUGGGUUCCGGGGGUGUGAAUCUGGAUUGCACGGAGCCACGAGAGCCCCGGGGCGAGCGGCCGGGCAGACGGCCCUGAUAUCUGCCGGCCCCGCCAAAAACCCUCUGAUGGAACACUCGCUUCAUGCUGGCUUGAGCCUUAUCAAGUGCCGUAAAGGUGCCCACAUAUGUGCCUAGUUCUUUCACGAAGUUAUCCCAGAAUAGGAGGGCUUUAGCCUGGGGACCCGGCUCUGAGAUAGCUAGGUUUACUAGCUUAGGCUCAAUUUUAAUUAAAAAAAAAUUUUUGCGUCUUUCCGUGGCCACCACUGUAUUAGAGUUGCCCAGGAGACACACGGCACGCUGGAUCCACCGUCUGAGGGCUUCCAGGUCCAGUGGUG